Molecule: ribosomal RNA, 497 nt
Filed under: uncultured bacterium
Lineage: Bacteria
Description: partial 16S ribosomal RNA
Rfam family: Bacterial small subunit ribosomal RNA
Source: RNAcentral
GAUGAACGCUGGCGGCGUGCCUAAUACAUGCAAGUCGAGCGAACAGACGAGGAGCUUGCUCCUCUGACGUUAGCGGCGGACGGGUGAGUAACACGUGGAUAACCUACCUAUAAGACUGGGAUAACUUCGGGAAACCGGAGCUAAUACCGGAUAAUAUAUUGAACCGCAUGGUUCAAUAGUGAAAUACGGUUUUUCUGUCUCUUAUAGAUGGAUCCGCGCCGCAUUAGCUAGUUGGUGAGGUAACGGCUUACCAAGGCGACGAUGCGUAGCCGACCUGAGAGGGUGAUCGGCCACACUGGAACUGAGACACGGUCCAGACUCCUACGGGAGGCAGCAGUAGGGAAUCUUCCGCAAUGGGCGAAAGCCUGACGGAGCAACGCCGCGUGAGUGAUGUAGGUCUUCGGAUCGUAAAACUCUGUUAUGAGGGAAGAACAAAUGUGUAAGUAACUAUGCACGUCUUGACGGUACCUAAUCAGAAAGCCACGGCUAACUACGUG